GAUGAACGCUGGCGGCGUGCCUAAUACAUGCAAGUCGAGCGAACAGACGAGGAGCUUGCUCCUUUGACGUUAGCGGCGGACGGGUGAGUAACACGUGGGUAACCUACCUAUAAGACUGGGAUAACUUCGGGAAACCGGAGCUAAUACCGGAUAAUAUUUCGAACCGCAUGGUUCGAUAGUGAAAGAUGGCUCUGCUAUCACUUAUAGAUGGACCUGCGCCGUAUUAGCUAGUUGGUAAGGUAACGGCUUACCAAGGCAACGAUACGUAGCCGACGUGAGAGGGUGGUCGGCCACACUGGAACGGAGACACGGUCCAGACUCCUACGGGAGGCAGCAGUAGGGAAUCUUCCGCAAUGGGCGAAAGCCUGACGGAGCAACGCCGCGUGAGUGAUGAAGGUCUUCGGAUCGUAAAACUCUGUUAUUAGGGAAGAACAAACGUGUAAGUAACUGUGCACGUCUUGACGGUACCUAAUCAGAAAGCCACGGCUAACUACGUG
RNAcentral lists this ribosomal RNA (497 nucleotides) under uncultured bacterium. RNAcentral describes it as "partial 16S ribosomal RNA". It matches the Rfam family "Bacterial small subunit ribosomal RNA", at positions 28 to 507 of the family's 1533-position model. The record is from RNAcentral.